Molecule: ribosomal RNA, 646 nt
Filed under: Nocardioides sp.
Lineage: Bacteria; Bacillati; Actinomycetota; Actinomycetes; Propionibacteriales; Nocardioidaceae
Description: bacterial SSU rRNA
Rfam family: Bacterial small subunit ribosomal RNA
Source: RNAcentral
GAGGCAGCAGUGGGGAAUAUUGGACAAUGGGCGGAAGCUGAUCCAGCAACGCCGCGUGAGGGAUGACGGCCUUCGGGUUGUAAACCUCUUUCAGCAGGGACGAAGCGCAAGUGACGGUACCUGCAGAAGAAGCACCGGCCAACUACGUGCCAGCAGCCGCGGUAAUACGUAGGGUGCGAGCGUUGUCCGGAAUUAUUGGGCGUAAAGGGCUCGUAGGCGGUUUGUCGCGUCGGGAGUGAAAACCAGGUGCUUAACACCUGGCUUGCUUUCGAUACGGGCAGACUAGAGGUAUUCAGGGGAGAACGGAAUUCCUGGUGUAGCGGUGAAAUGCGCAGAUAUCAGGAGGAACACCGGUGGCGAAGGCGGUUCUCUGGGAAUAUCCUGACGCUGAGGAGCGAAAGUGUGGGGAGCGAACAGGAUUAGAUACCCUGGUAGUCCACACCGUAAACGUUGGGCGCUAGGUGUGGGGUCCAUUCCACGGAUUCCGUGCCGCAGCUAACGCAUUAAGCGCCCCGCCUGGGGAGUACGGCCGCAAGGCUAAAACUCAAAGGAAUUGACGGGGGCCCGCACAAGCGGCGGAGCAUGCGGAUUAAUUCGAUGCAACGCGAAGAACCUUACCUGGGUUUGACAUACACCCUGCCGCUCC